RNAcentral lists this ribosomal RNA (493 nucleotides) under uncultured bacterium. Its description in RNAcentral is "bacterial SSU rRNA". It matches the Rfam family "Bacterial small subunit ribosomal RNA", at positions 30 to 507 of the family's 1533-position model. The record is from RNAcentral.
AUGAACGCUAGCGGCAGGCUUAAUAAUGCAAGUUGAGGGGCAGCAUGAUAUACGCGAGUAUAUUGAUGGCGACCGGCGGACGGGUGAGUAAUAGGUAGGAGACCUACCUCAUACAGGGGGAUAGCAUAGAGAAAUCUGUGGUAAUACCCCAUGAGGUUAUAUGAAUAGAGGCAUAUAAUCAAAGCAUAAGCGAUUAUGCGGUAUGAGAGGGGCCUACUGACCAUUAGCUAGUUGGUGAGGUAAGGGCUCACCAAGGCGAAGAUGGUUAGGGGUUUUGAGAGAGAGACCCCCCACAUUGGAACUGAGAGACGGUCCAGACUCCUACGGGAGGCAGCAGUAGGGAAUAUUGGGCAAUGGGCGAAAGCCUGACCCAGCCAUGCCGCGUGAAGGAAGACGGCCUUAUGGGUUGUAAACUUCUUUACUACGCGAAUAGAGGUUAGUACGAGAUACUAAUAGGAAGGUAGUGUAGUAAAAAGCACCGGCUAACUCCGUG